GUAGGUGGCAAGCGUUGUCCGGAAUUAUUGGGCGUAAAGCGCGCGCAGGCGGUUCUUUAAGUCUGAUGUGAAAGCCCACGGGCUCAACCGUGGAGGGUCAUUGGAAACUGGAGAACUUGAGUACAGAAGAGGAAAGCGGAAUUCCACGUGUAGCGGUGAAAUGCGUAGAGAUGUGGAGGAACACCAGUGGCGAAGGCGGCUUUCUGGUCUGUAACUGACGCUGAGGCGCGAAAGCGUGGGGAGCAAACAGGAUUAGAUACCCUGGUAGUACACGCCGUAAACGAUGAGUGCUAAGUGUUAGGGGGUUUCCGCCCCUUAGUGCUGCAGCUAACGCAUUAAGCACUCCGCCUGGGGAGUACGGCCGCAAGGCUG
Molecule: ribosomal RNA, 372 nt
Filed under: uncultured organism
Description: partial 16S ribosomal RNA
Rfam family: Bacterial small subunit ribosomal RNA
Source: RNAcentral